AUGAUGGUACCCGUGGGAGAGCCAGGCUCCGCCCCCGCCGGCCGCCCGGUGCUCCUCCAGCCAGGCUCCGCCCCCGCCGGCCGCCAGGAGCCCUUCACGCCAGCCGCCGUCGUCCGCCCCUCCCGUGGUCGUCCGCUCCUCCUGUGGUCGUCCGCUCCUCCCGCCAGGACUCGCGCUCGUGCAGCAGGGCCUCUGACCGCCGUUCGCUCGUGGUCCUCCUGCUGUCUGCUGCGCCGGAUCUCGCUCCCAGCCGCCGUCCUCGUCCGGCCUCUGCUAUUUUCGGAUCUUUGCAAAAAAACCAUGUCUACUGCAUCAGGCUACGUUGCUGUCCCUCGCUGUCCGGUGAUCUUCCAUGGUACCAACUACACCGUGUUCGCUGGCUUCAUGUGCAUUCACAUGCGUGGCAUUCGUCUCUGGGGUGUUCUUUCUGGCGAGGUCUGCUGUCCGCCACGUCCGGUCCCUCCGGUGGCCCCUACUCCGCCGACUUCCCUGGUUCUUCCUCCGGAUGCUGCUCAGGCCGCCAAGGAUGCGGCUAAGAUUGCUGAUGAGGCUGCUGAUCGUGCCUAUGAUGAGAGGGCUUUGGCUUAUGAGGAGGUUCUUCAGACGUAUCAUGGUGCUUUGUCUGUUUACACCCAGUGGCUUGAUGAUGAUGCUCGUGCUGCAGCUGUUCUCACUGCUAGUGUUCUGCCUCAGUUUGCUUCUGAGUUUCUGGGUCUUCCUACUGUCUCCCAGAUGUGGACCUGUCUUCGUCAGCGCUAUGAGCCCUCUGGUGAUGCCUUAUACCUUUCUGUGAGUUCUGCUAUCUGGCGCCAGCUUGAUUCUCUCCGCAGUGCUGGUUGUCGUACUUGCCCCUGCUGCCAGGCUGUCCAGGCCGAUUUGGAGUUUCAUCGCGUCUACGAGUUCCUGUCUCGGCUCCGUAAGGAGUUUGAGCCUCGGCGUGCUCAGUUGCUUGCUCGUGGCCGUAUUUCUCUCAUGGAGGCGCUUUCAGAGAUUCGUGCUGAGGAGACUCGCCUCCGUGGUGCUGGUUUGCUGGAGGUUCCCUCUGUGCUCGCUACUCGGGUUUCUUCCACUCCGCCGGCUGCACCGCCCCAUUCUCGCUCGAGUGCUCCGCCGCUCUUGCCCACUCCUUCUGGAGGCUCAGGUCGCCCCCGUUCACAUUGUGACUAUUGCAACAAUGAUGGUCAUAUUGAGUCCCAGUGCUACACCAAGCGGAAACACCUGCGCAAGGCGCGAUCAUCCUCCUCAGGGACUUCGUGA
This 1257-nucleotide ribosomal RNA is filed under the name Triticum aestivum (bread wheat). RNAcentral describes it as "partial small subunit ribosomal RNA". Lineage: Eukaryota; Viridiplantae; Streptophyta; Magnoliopsida; Poales; Poaceae. The record is from RNAcentral.